Caenorhabditis elegans is the source of this 21-nucleotide non-coding RNA. NCBI's taxonomy places the organism in Eukaryota, Metazoa, Nematoda, Chromadorea, Rhabditida, Rhabditidae. The record is from Ensembl.
UGGUUCCAUCGAUCUCUUAUC